Molecule: long non-coding RNA, 1435 nt
Filed under: Mus caroli (Ryukyu mouse)
Lineage: Eukaryota; Metazoa; Chordata; Mammalia; Rodentia; Muridae
Description: RIKEN cDNA B230322F03 gene (MGP_CAROLIEiJ_G0004015.1)
Source: RNAcentral
UUCGGCCAGGCCGGCCGGAGGUGACAGUGCCUGACUGGGCUCCUGAGAUGCUGGAUCCGCGUCCCGCGGCCGCAGGAGCAGCACCCCGGCCUCCUCGAAGGUUUCGCGGAUGGCACAGAUGCGCAGCGCUACGUCAUCCGGCAGCGCCGCGGGGUCCGCGUCGCCGUGGGACAGCCCGGGGAAGGGGGGUUGCCGAGGCGGCUCGGGGCCUAGGCCGAAGCGCGGCGGCGUGUGCCGAGGCGCGAACAGACGCACCCAGUCGGGCGAGCUGUCGGCCGCGUCCAGCACGCCGCCCGGGAAGACGUGCGCGCCGGGCAUGAAGCGCUGGUUUUGAGCUCGCUGGAGAAGCAGCAGCCGGAAGCCGGCCGGGCUCGAGUGGGUCCAGCCUGCGGCCAACAUCACGGUAGCUGCCCGCCGCCAGCUGCUCGGGCCGCUCAUGGCCGGCGUCCUUCAGAUCCCCUUUAGGAAGUGGCCGGGUCGUAGAGUGGUGUCCGAAAGCCGAAUAAAUGUUGAGGGCCUGAGAAAGCCGGCCUGGAGGCUUCCGGAGGUUUGCUUGUGGGAGGAGCGUGGUUCCCGCGCCAAAGCACCUCCUCUGAGUGCCCUGAGCUUCAGUCAGGGUCAUUCUCGCCCUGUCACAGCCCUGGGAGCACGGGUGCCAGUGUGGAAUGGAAAAUAAUUUCUAGUUGUGAACCUUUCCCACUAAACGCAAACGACUGGGACUUUGUCCCCUACGCUGGCCUGUUGCCUGUAUAGGAGGUUCCAAGUUGUCGGGAGCUCUCUUGAGCCAUGCUAAUAAACGAAUGGGUGGAUCAGAUGCCAAGUUAGACUAACUGCUCUGUAGUUUGAAUGUCUUUGGCUAGUCCCUGUCCCUUGGGGUAGUUUGUCUUAAAUUGUAGAUGUUAUUGCCGGAGCCCCUGAGGAUCAGGGAAAAUCAUCUUAGUGUGAUUAGUUCUCUUUCUACGUGAGAGAUGUUUAAUCCUAGACUAGCAAUGCUUCCCCUCCUCUCCAACCUUUUUCCUUUUUUUUCCAGGCUGGCCUCGAAUUCAGAAAUCUGCCUCCCAAGUGCUGGGAUCAAAGACGUGCACCACCACUGCCCGGCUUCCUCUCCAAUUUUUAAGUGGCUGGAGGACUUGCACUUCUAUUUUGUUUUUUGGAAACAGCUUGUUUCUGUCUCCCUUUUUGCAGCUCUCUCAGUCACCAGCCCUUGCAAAUCCCAUCCUAACUGAUCACAUAUUUUUAGGGUUUUGGAUGAGUUAGGCUGUAUUCUUGGGGCUAUAGAGAUGGUUUUUGUUUGUUUUGAGAAAGUAUUAUUAUGUAGUCUUGCUUUUUGGGAACUUGCUAUGUAGACGACCAGGCUAGCCUUGAACUCACAGAGAUCUAUCUGCUUGUCUCUGCCUCCCCACGUCUAGGACUAAUAAAGGUGUGUGCCAGCCUC